Dermochelys coriacea (leatherback sea turtle) is the source of this 3185-nucleotide long non-coding RNA. RefSeq lists it as uncharacterized. NCBI's taxonomy places the organism in Eukaryota, Metazoa, Chordata, Testudines, Dermochelyidae. The record is from RefSeq and is a predicted model, not a curated record. The transcript is spliced from 2 exons.
AAUCUCAAAACUUGUUUACAAUGUAACUACUUGCUAUAACUAACAACCAAAAUAUGAGCACUACUUGCAAGUUAUGUGGGUUUGGCAAUAUUUUUUCCUCAGUGCAUUCAAGCUCUUUAGAGCUGAUAGUCUUUUCUUUUUCUCCUUCUUUAUACAUAUAGCUUCUAACCCUUCAGAUGUCAAAACUGAAAAGGAAGCUGCUGUUUUCAGAAACCAUUAACAUCAAAGGCAUUUGAUUCAGACGCCUGGGCCAAAUUUUUCUUAGUUGUACUAUUGGCAUUCCACGGAUGAUAGAGAGUUUGCACCAGUGAAACUGAGAAGACAAUUUAAGUUGUAAGUACGUGUCAAGUAUGGAGGUCUUUUAACAUAAGCCAUUUGGGAAUAUUCCAUGUACAGAACCAAAGCCUGAUAAACUUCUCAAUAUCUGAAAAACGCCAUUUUAUUAUACUGAACUCAGAGGUCUAAGUGGAAUUUUACCAAAUUGGUCAAAAAACUCUCUUCAGCUAAGAGCAAUCAUUGAAAAACUAAUCCCAACGGUAAGUUUUUCGACAAGUUAUCAGUGCCUGAAAGUAGGAGCUUUUACAGUAGAAGCUGUUUCCUCAACUAAAACUAGCGUUGCUACUAUGGAAUUAUAACCCUUUAAAAAUGUACUUUAUAGCUCCUGAGUUGCUUGCCUCAUACAUCAGCAUGUUCCUUACUGCAUAAAUUACCAUUCUGUGUCUUCUUCACAAUGCUCCUUCUGUAGAAUGUCUUAUAAAGGUGGCCUAUGAAAUGAUUUCUUUUAAAAUUGGACUUGCCUUUUUUGCUCCAUUAUGAUAUAUAAAUGCUUGAAAGGUUGUUUUUACCCUCUCCCCUCUUUUAAAAAAAAAAAAAAAAUUAAAAAAAUCAGUUUUUUAACCUUGGAAAUAUCCACUCUUGCCCUCUGUUUUUUAAGGAGUGUGUUAAAUCUUUAACAGAAACUUCCUUUCUGCAAACUGUCAGUUAGUGAUUAAAUAGGUGUUAACAAACAUCAUUGCUACUGGGUAGCCUGGGUCCAGCCAAGAAUAGGACAAGUGUUCCCUGUAAAGAGUUGCAGGAAGGGUGGCAAGGGGGCGGCGGAAGAGAGGUUGCAGAGGAAGGGACAGUUUCCUGCAGUGGUCCCUGGAGAAAGGAGACUCCAGGUGAGAAGCCUGUAAGUUGUGGCUGGAUAGAGAGCCCCUGUUGGAAGUUUUUCCUUUUGCGAGUUUAUUGGUCAUUUUGGACAGUAAGCAAAGCCUGGAGGCAAGUGCUAAAGACUGAUUUCGACAUGAUUGAUCAUUCUCGAGGCUGGUGAGGAUUGUUGGCAGCUUACAAACAUCUUAAGCAGACUGGUUUAAAAACCUUUUCCCUCUGUCAGUUGUUGGUUUUCAUCAUCCUGCUGCUUAAGACAUUUAAUUGGUUCUCCAGUUAUCAUAGACUGAGUCUACAGUAUUGCCUUGUUUAUACUGGAAAUUGUCCUGUUUCCAGCCAUUAGUGGCCAAGUAUGUAGUUCCUCUUGGCGUAGACAAGGAGAGCCACAAAAGUGAAGCUUACAGUAGUAAUUUCCACCAGAGCGAAUUGUAGCUUUCCUGGUCUAUGCUAAGCUAUUUAGGUAGUUGGAAUGGAGGUACAUUUCCAGUGUACCCACAAGAGUAAAGAAAACUGGAACCUGUAAUUUUUCAUUUGUGCAACUUCACAGGGGUUGGAGGUCUAUCACUCUUUUGUUUUUCCUCCUGCUCAAAAUAGCAUUAAACAGCACAGCAGUGUGUUUAAAAAAAAAAAAAAUCUGUGCUCUCUUCACUACAGCCUCCACUGUUGCUGGUAGGUGUCUUAUAGAGACAAAGCCGUGGAAUCUUGCUGGCCAGACGACUUGAAUUUCUAAUGCAGAAAAUGAGCAGAAUAACUUUUCUUGCAGGGAAGAAACCCUCCCAAACCUUCAUUCCACAUAAUUAAGUAGUGGGGAAAAGUCACCUUCGCAGGUCAUCCUUGCAUCGCCUUGCACUGGAAUUUGUAGGAAGAGAUCAUCCUCUCUAAAAGAGGCUCAAAUAAAUGUGAAAAAAUUAUUCUGUCAUCUCGAUUAAUUAUUAAAACUGUGGACUAAAGACCUACCUGCUGUACUCAAGGGGAAUAUGAAAUGAAAUUUAUGGUUAUGGCCAGGUCUGAAAGCUGGCAAAGGGAAUAUUAAGAAUUCGUAAUAGUGACUGGAACUAGAGCGGCUACUGAUGAAAGAUGAAUGUGCUGUGAAUUGAGAUUCUCAGUAAGUAGUUUUAUGUUCAUCUACACAAUUAUCUAUGUUAAGACUAACAUUUAUGGUGCUAUUAUUGCUAUUAUGAAUUCCAUUCCUUAGCAUAGGUCUAGACAGGGAGACAUCUGAUAGUAGAAAGCUCUCAAAGUUAGCCGGCAAAGGCAUAACCAGAUCCAUCAGCUGGAAGGAGAAGCUAGACAAAUUCAGACUAGAAAUAAGGUGUGGAUAAAAGAGUAAAUGGCAACUUACUAAGAGACUUGGUUGACUCUUGCUCACUUGAUUUCAGAAUUUCUGAAGAUAUGUUUUACUUUAUCAAGAAGUUAUGGGCUUGAUUCAAGAGUUGCUGGGUGAAAAUCUUGGUCUGUGUUACACAGGAGGUCAGACUAGAAGAUCACUGUUGUCUCUUCUGGCUUUUUAAAAUCUUUGAAGCUAUCAUCCCACAUGAUAAAAUACCACGUCCGUUAGGUUUCCUGAUAUUACUUAAGUAUGAAAAAUAUUAGACUUGCUUUUCCCUGUGUUUAACAUUUUGUUGCAUUACCAGCCCCAAGCAGACAAACAAACAUGAAUCAAGACAGCCCCCCCCCCAAAACCUGAGCAGCUUAAAAUUUGUGAAUUUUUUAAAAAAAAAAUGGGGCAGGGUAUUACCUUUCUGGUCUUGGAGCCUUAAGGUUCAUGUUUUCAAGCUUAUCUGUAACCAUGAGAGCUAGAAAUGUGCAUUUUUGAGAGAGGGAGCUGACUCUCACUUAGUCAACUGACUCUGGUACUGGGGCUUUAAGAAAAACACCAAACAUUACAAACCUGGCAGUAAAAUCAGAAGAGUUGACAACACAGCUCUUGAUCUUUUUUUUCCAGUAUUUUCACUGCCAGUAGUACUUGUGGAUCUUAAUUUUUAAUGUUUUAUAGAGAUUUAGCCAUCAUAAAUCACUUUUAAAAAACUAUUGUU